GUUGUAUAGUUAAGUGACUAAGCGUACAAGGUGGAUGCCUUGGCAAUCAGAGGCGAAGAAGGACGUGCUAAUCUGCGAAAAGCUUGGAUGAGUCGAUAAGAGGCGUUUAAUCCAAGAUAUCCGAAUGGGGAAACCCAGUGGGUGAAGAAUCCACUAUCAACAAGUGAAUACAUAGCUUGUUGAGGCAAACCGGGAGAAC
This 199-nucleotide ribosomal RNA is filed under the name Haemophilus sp. CCUG 66565. RNAcentral describes it as "partial 23S ribosomal RNA". It matches the Rfam family "Bacterial large subunit ribosomal RNA", at positions 1 to 193 of the family's 2925-position model. The record is from RNAcentral. Lineage: Bacteria; Pseudomonadati; Pseudomonadota; Gammaproteobacteria; Pasteurellales; Pasteurellaceae.